GACGAACGCUGGCGGCGUGCCUAAUACAUGCAAGUCGAACGCUGAAGCUUGGUGCUUGCACCGAGCGGAUGAGUUGCGAACGGGUGAGUAACGCGUAGGUAACCUGCCUGGUAGCGGGGGAUAACUAUUGGAAACGAUAGCUAAUACCGCAUAAGAGUAGAUGUUGCAUGACAUUUGCUUAAAAGGUGCAAUUGCAUCACUACCAGAUGGACCCGCGUUGUAUUAGCUAGUUGGUGAGGUAACGGCUCACCAAGGCAACGAUACAUAGCCGACCUGAGAGGGUGAUCGGCCACACUGGGACUGAGACACGGCCCAGACUCCUACGGGAGGCAGCAGUAGGGAAUCUUCGGCAAUGGACGGAAGUCUGACCGAGCAACGCCGCGUGAGUGAAGAAGGGUGUCGGAUCGUAAAGCUCUGUUGUAAGAGAAGAACGAGUGUGAGAGUGGAAAGUUCACACUGUGACGGUAGCUGACCAGAAAGGGACGGCUAACUACGUG
RNAcentral lists this ribosomal RNA (497 nucleotides) under uncultured bacterium. Its description in RNAcentral is "partial 16S ribosomal RNA". It matches the Rfam family "Bacterial small subunit ribosomal RNA", at positions 28 to 507 of the family's 1533-position model. The record is from RNAcentral.